GUACGGUAAUUACGUGGGACGUAAAGCGCAUGCAGGCGGCCUGUUAAGUCAGAUGUAGAAACGGCCCGGGGACCUUUAACCGUACGGUAAGUUGCUAUUUAGUAAACGUGGCGAGGCUAGAGUCUUGUAGGAGGGGGGUAGGAAUUUCAGGUGUAGCGGUGAAAUGCGUAGAGAUCUGAAGGAAUACCAGUGGCGAAGGCGGCCCCCUGGACAAAGACUGACGCUCAGAUGCGAAAGCGUGGGGAGCAAACAGGAUUAGAUACCCUGGUAG
Molecule: ribosomal RNA, 271 nt
Filed under: uncultured bacterium
Lineage: Bacteria
Description: partial 16S ribosomal RNA
Rfam family: Bacterial small subunit ribosomal RNA
Source: RNAcentral